Molecule: ribosomal RNA, 460 nt
Filed under: uncultured bacterium
Lineage: Bacteria
Description: partial 16S ribosomal RNA
Rfam family: Bacterial small subunit ribosomal RNA
Source: RNAcentral
CCUACGGGUGGCAGCAGUGAGGAAUAUUGGUCAAUGGACGAGAGUCUGAACCAGCCAAGUAGCGUGAAGGAUGACUGCCCUACGGGUUGUAAACUUCUUUUAUAUAGGAAUAAAAUGUUCCACGUGUGCGUUUUUGUAUGUACCAUAUGAAUAAGGAUCGGCUAACUCCGUGCCAGCAGCCGCGGUAAUACGGAGGAUCCGAGCGUUAUCCGGAUUUAUUGGGUUUAAAGGGAGCGUAGGUGGAUUGUUAAGUCAGUUGUGAAAGUUUGCGGCUCAACCGUAAAAUUGCAGUUGAGACUGGCAGUAGUGAGUACAGUGGAGGUGGGCGGAAUUCGUGGUGUAGCGGUGAAAUGCUUAGAUAUCACGAAGAACUCCGAUUGCGAAGGCAGCUUACUAGACUGCAACUGACACUGAGGCUCGAAAGUGUGGGUAUCAAACAGGAUUAGAUACCCCGAUAGUC